Long non-coding RNA from Nomia melanderi (Alkali bee), 904 nucleotides. RefSeq lists it as uncharacterized. NCBI's taxonomy places the organism in Eukaryota, Metazoa, Arthropoda, Insecta, Hymenoptera, Halictidae. The record is from RefSeq and is a predicted model, not a curated record.
CUCCGAACCCGACGACCACUUGGAACAACGAGGACACAGCAAUGGCGCCCGAGAGCUCCCUCAUUCUGACCUGCCACAGUUCCGUUCGGUUCUCGGCAGACAUCUCCUCCAGCACUUCCGGCGCGGGGCAUUUCCACUGUGGAAGAUUCAGUAUCGCUAACGUUGGGACUAGAAACGAUAUGGUUCCUCCUUGUACCAAUGGCAGCCUGGAAGAUGAAGCGAAUUCAAUGUCGUUCACGGUUCAUGAUUAGCGAGACUUGCUUCGCAUCGGGAAAUUUCUACUGGUUGACGUUUCUCGAAUAAUUUUGGCUUGGAACGCCGAGUGUCGUAAGUUCCGGAAGAACGAUCGUCCGGUCACUCCCGGAACAGCAGGAAUUCCUCUGUUAUAAAAUUUGACAUAAAAACCGGAUGGUAAUUCUUUCCGGGAAACUGCGAGGGACCUAGCCGGCAAUAAAUCUUCGCUAAACAAGAGUACAGAUCGUCUUCAGCAAUAAAGUUACGAGGAUUAACGCCUAGGCAACUUGUUACACGUUCGCUGGCGUGCGCAAUUGUAACAGAAGAAAUCAGGAUUGAUGUAUCUGUAAUCCCGGCGUUGAAGACCGUUUCAUCCAUCAGUUUGAGGAAUUACCUGCAUCCGAUCGAAGUCUGGAAAAAAGUCACCAGCCCGGUAACGAAGAUCAUAGUGGAGAUUAUGUAACUCCUCGACGGAUCGUCUUCCGCCAUGCAGAGAGCCGGCGUCAGGAUGAAGGGAAUCGAGACGAUCGCCCCGAUCAUGGUCAAAUAAUGCUGAAACAAAUCGUGUUUCUGUCUCAGGUCUCUAUUUACAGUUUAAAUAGAGAAAGCUCGACCGAUAAGCACACCGACGGGAUUAAGUGUCGUUGAACAUUAAACUCGUAUGAUUGAU